Molecule: ribosomal RNA, 253 nt
Filed under: uncultured bacterium
Lineage: Bacteria
Description: partial 16S ribosomal RNA
Rfam family: Bacterial small subunit ribosomal RNA
Source: RNAcentral
UACAGAGGUCUCAAGCGUUGUUCGGAUUCAUUGGGCGUAAAGGGUGCGUAGGCGGCGCGGUAAGUCGGGUGUGAAAUCUUGGAGCUUAACUCCGAAACUGCAUUCGAUACUGCCGUGCUUGAGGACUGGAGAGGAGACUGGAAUUUACGGUGUAGCGGUGAAAUGCGUAGAUAUCGUAAGGAAGACCAGUGGCGAAGGCGGGUCUCUGGGCCGAUACUGACGCUGAGGAGCGAAAGCGUGGGGAGCGAACAGG